Molecule: ribosomal RNA, 497 nt
Filed under: uncultured bacterium
Lineage: Bacteria
Description: partial 16S ribosomal RNA
Rfam family: Bacterial small subunit ribosomal RNA
Source: RNAcentral
GACGAACGCUGGCGGCGUGCCUAAUACAUGCAAGUUGAGCGCUGAAGGUUGGUACUUGUACCAACUGGAUGAGCAGCGAACGGGUGAGUAACGCGUGGGGAAUCUGCUUCUGAUCGGGGGACAACAUCUGGAAACGACUGCUAAUACCGCAUAAAAACUUUAAACACAAGUUUCAAGUUUGAAAGAUGCAAUUGCAUCACUCAAAGAUGAUCCCGCGUUGUAUUAGCUAGUUGGUGAGGUAAAGGCCCACCAAGGCGAGGAUACAUAGCCGACCUGAGAGGGUGAACGACCAAAUUGGGACUGGGGCACGGCCCAAACUCCUACGGGAGGCAGCAGGAGGGAAUCUUCGGCAAUGGGCGAAAGUCUGACCGAGCAACGCCGCGUGAGUGAAGGAAGUUUUCGGAUCGUAAAACUCUGUUGGUAGAGAAGGACGUUGGGGAGAGUAGAAAGCUCAUCAAGUGACGGUAACUACACAGAAAGGAACGGCUAACUACGUG